This 465-nucleotide ribosomal RNA is filed under the name uncultured bacterium. Its description in RNAcentral is "partial 16S ribosomal RNA". It matches the Rfam family "Bacterial small subunit ribosomal RNA", at positions 28 to 507 of the family's 1533-position model. The record is from RNAcentral.
GACGAACGCUGGCGGCGUGCUUAACACAUGCCAGUCGAACGGAAAGGCCCUGCUUGCAGGGUACUCGAGUGGCGAACGGGUGAGUAACACGUGGGUGAUCUGCCCUGCACUUCGGGAUAAGCCUGGGAAACUGGGUCUAAUACCGGAUAGGAGCCAUUUUUAGUGUGAUGGUUGGAAAGUUUUUUCGGUGUAGGAUGAGCUCGCGGCCUAUCAGCUUGUUGGUGGGGUAAUGGCCUACCAAGGCGGCGACGGGUAGCCGGCCUGAGAGGGUGGACGGCCACAUUGGGACUGAGAGACGGCCCAGACUCCGACGGGAGGCAGCAGUGGGGAAUAUUGCACAAGGGGCGCAAGCCUGAUGCAGCGACGCCGCGUGGGGGAUGACGGCCUUCGGGUUGUAAACUCCUUUCGCUAGGGACGAAGCUUUUUGUGACGGUACCUAGAUAAGAAGCACCGGCUAACUACGUG